UACGGAGGGUGCGAGCGUUGUCCGGAAUCAUUGGGCGUAAAGGGCGCGUAGGUGGCCCGGUCAGUUCGUGGUGAAAGCGCGGGGCACAACCCUGCGUCGGCCAUGAAUACUGCCGCGGCUGGAGCACUGUAGAGGCAGGCGGAAUUCCGGGUGUAGCGGUGGAAUGCGUAGAGAUCCGGAAGAACACCGGUGGCGAAGGCGGCCUGCUGGGCAGUUGCUGACACUGAGGCGCGACAGCGUGGGGAGCAAACAGG
Molecule: ribosomal RNA, 254 nt
Filed under: uncultured bacterium
Lineage: Bacteria
Description: partial 16S ribosomal RNA
Rfam family: Bacterial small subunit ribosomal RNA
Source: RNAcentral